This 433-nucleotide ribosomal RNA is filed under the name uncultured bacterium. Its description in RNAcentral is "partial 16S ribosomal RNA". It matches the Rfam family "Bacterial small subunit ribosomal RNA", at positions 29 to 507 of the family's 1533-position model. The record is from RNAcentral.
AACGAACGCUGGCGGCAUGCCUAACACAUGCAAGUCGAACGAGACCUUCGGGUCUAGUGGCGCACGGGUGCGUAACGCGUGGGAACCUGCCCUUAGGUUCGGAAUAACUCCCAGAAAGGGGUGCUAAUACCGGAUAAUGUCUUCGGACCAAAGAUUUAUCGCCUUUGGAUGGGCCCGCGUUGGAUUAGCUAGUUGGUAGGGUAAAAGCCUACCAAGGCGACGAUCCAUAGCUGGUCGGAGAGGAUGAUCAGCCACACUGGGACUGAGACACGGCCCAGACUCCUACGGGGAGCAGCAGUGGGGAAUAUUGGACAAUGGGCGAAAGCCUGAUCCAGCAAGGCCGCGGGAGUGAUGAAGGCCUUAGGGUUGUAAAGCUCUUUUACCCGGGAGGAUAAUGACAGUACCGGGAGAAUAAGCUCCGGCUAACUCCGUG